CCAAACAUUAAAUUUUUUAUUUAAUAAAUAUGUAUCAUUACUGUUUGAGAAUAAAUUCAGAGGAGUCGUAGAAGUUUAAAAGUUCUAAAUUAAUCGUUAUAAGUAAUGUGAAUGUUAAACGGAGUUUAAACCAAAGAUUAUAAUAGUUUUCUUCGUUGUAAUUGUACAAGCAUAAUUGUCAACGAUGUUCGAAUGGGCAUAUGACGGUGUUAAUGCCUCUAUACCGCGUAACUCAGGACCAGAAUGUGCUUACUACUUGAGCCCAAAACGAAGGAUAAUCGAAACAUCGCUGGUAUCUAUAUUCAUAAUAAGCCUCCUCGUUUGGGGUUACAAACGAAUUAGAUUACCACCUCGGGUAUCGUACGUAGAUCAUGAUCGCGUUGGCAGAAGAGUAUUGUUGAUUAUUAUGUCACUAGUAUUGGGAAUGGAAUUAGGUUUUAAACUUACCAGCAGAACAGUUGUAUAUAUUUUUAAUCCCUGUCACAUAAUAACAGCAGUGCAGUUGUACUUGCUGGCUGCUGAACCCAGUCCAACAGUAACAGCAAUCUUUAGGAUACAUUUAAAUUUCAUGAAUGGACCAGUUUUAGCAUAUUUAUUCCCAGAGAUUGAGUCUAGAAAUAUAUUCGCUGACAAAGCUCUAUACUACAUUCAGCAUGGCUUGAUGAUAGUAAUCCCAUAUUAUUUGCUGAGACUUGGAGGUGUUUAUAAUAUCGAGCCUCUAUCGGACAUGAGCUGGUGCAUUUUCAGUUAUGGACUGAAUUUAGUGUAUCAUUUCUGGAUUCUUCAAGCUAUUGCUUGGCCCAUACAAGUGAAUCUUAGUCACAUGUUGUGCGCGGCUGUUCUGGAUCCAUUCGCAGGACAAAAUUAUCGACUGUGGACGAUAGUCCAUCAAGGACUACUAUGCCCGAUAUUAUGCAAGUCGCUGUGCUACGCAUCCGAUUUCUUUCUAACAAGGUUCCUACCGACCAAAGUAAAACCCUCGCUCGAGUGUAUACUUCCGAAAAAGAAAAGUAAAUACGAAUGUAACGAGAAAUUACGCGAAGAUACAAACGUCUCAGGGAACGGACACACGCGCGUGAACUAAGUCCAAUAUACCUCGUAAUACAAUGCUAACCUCUAUGAACACUUUGCUGCAAUUAAGUAAGUACUUAACAGUUAAGGGGGGGAAAACAAACGUGUUUAUAUGUUAAUAACUGUACGAACGCAAGACAUCUUGUGUUUGUAUUUGCGUCUGUAAUUGAACAGAUGCCACCUCUCGGGCAAGGCUGUUGAACUAACUCCCCGCCAUCGCAAUACUGCUCCUACUACCGGUCUAACAGGCCACGAGUUUGGCAGCCCUGCUGUAAGAAAUGCAGGUUUCUUUCAGUACAAUCGAUGAGAGUAAUCAAUGCGAGUGCAAAAAGACGUAAAGAAGAGAUCAACAUUGUUCGCGUCGAGUACGCAAUUGUAAAGGCCUCAAAAAAAGUUUAACUUAGAACCUCAAUAGAGCACGAUAGCAAAUUCUUUUUUUUUUACCACUGAUUGUUUUCCAUUGCACAUAGAAUAACAGCUAUGCAAACAAAACUGUGUAACAGGAUAUUCUCGAUCCAUGUACUCGGAUGAUAUUAAAAGUAUACUCAAAUUUGAACGAAUUGUAUAGCGGACGUUGUGCUAUAAUGUAUUAUAAGUGUUUCAGACCACUGUCUUAUGGCAGACUUAGCAAAUUAACACACAUUAUACGUACUGUGUACAAAAAGGAUUGUGUGCGUUUGUGUAUACUUGACUUUUUAGGGUUGUAGUAGUGUUAUCUUGCCAGAAAUAUCCAAAGAGAUUCGUUUUGCAAUAAUGAAACCAAACUCCAGACUUAUUUAAUUUUAUGAAAAUUCAAAAUCAAAUUUAUAUGUUCUUGUCUCUUUAUUGGUCGUUUACUGUCACAUAUAGAAAGUUACUUUCGUAGUGUCCAGUUUAUAUGUUCGAUUUCGAAUCUACGAUCUGAUAAUGAAAUAUUCGUCAGAUCGUCGUGAUUUCGAAUCGUUCCUGAUUUAGAAUUUGCGUGGUAGUGGAGGGAUUGUUUGACGAGGCGUAUAACAGAUCGCGAUUGUUAUAUUUUUCUAAGCUGCAAGGAGUACUGUUUCCAUAGUGGUAGAACAAAGGUGCAACUUUGGAAGCAUAAGAUGCGAAUUGUAUGUCGAACGCAGGUGCAAGACGGGAAAAUAUUUGUAACUUAAU
RNA transcript from Colletes gigas, 2208 nucleotides. It is a transcript of the gene named transmembrane protein 164, with no coding region annotated. The transcript is spliced from 6 exons. NCBI's taxonomy places the organism in Eukaryota, Metazoa, Arthropoda, Insecta, Hymenoptera, Colletidae. The record is from RefSeq and is a predicted model, not a curated record.